UAACUUCGGGAGAAGGGGUGCUUUCUUAACGGAAAGCCGCAGUGAAUAGGCCCAAGCGACUGUUUAGCAAAAACACAGCUCUCUGCGAAGCCGUAAGGCGAAGUAUAGGGGGUGACACCUGCCCGGUGCUGGAAGGUUAAGGAGAGGGGUUAGCGUAAGCGAAGCUCUGAACUGAAGCCCCAGUAAACGGCGGCCGUAACUAUAACGGUCCUAAGGUAGCGAAAUUCCUUGUCGGGUAAGUUCCGACCCGCACGAAAGGUGUAACGAUUUGGGCACUGUCUCAACCAGAGACUCGGUGAAAUUAUAGUACCUGUGAAGAUGCAGGUUACCCGCGACAGGACGGAAAGACCCCGUGGAGCUUUACUGUAGCCUGAUAUUGAAUUUUGGUACAGUUUGUACAGGAUAGGCGGGAGCCUUUGAAACCGGAGCGCUAGCUUCGGUGGAGGCGCUGGUGGGAUACCGCCCUGACUGUAUUGAAAUUCUAACCUACGGGUCUUAUCGACCCGGGAGACAGUGUCAGGUGGGCAGUUUGACUGGGGCGGUCGCCUCCUAAAGUGUAACGGAGGCGCCCAAAGGUUCCCUCAGAAUGGUUGGAAAUCAUUCGUAGAGUGCAAAGGCAUAAGGGAGCUUGACUGCGAGACCUACAAGUCGAGCAGGGACGAAAGUCGGGCUUAGUGAUCCGGUGGUUCCGCAUGGAAGGGCCAUCGCUCAACGGAUAAAAGCUACCCCGGGGAUAACAGGCUUAUCUCCCCCAAGAGUCCACAUCGACGGGGAGGUUUGGCACCUCGAUGUCGGCUCAUCGCAUCCUGGGGCUGUAGUCGGUCCCAAGGGUUGGGCUGUUCGCCCAUUAAAGCGGUACGCGAGCUGGGUUCAGAACGUCGUGAGACAGUUCGGUCCCUAUCCGUCGUGGGCGUAGGAAAUUUGAGAGGAGCUGUCCUUAGUACGAGAGGACCGGGAUGGACGCACCGCUGGUGUACCAGUUGUUCUGCCAAGGGCAUAGCUGGGUAGCUAUGUGCGGAAGGGAUAAGUGCUGAAAGCAUCUAAG
This 1045-nucleotide ribosomal RNA is filed under the name Bacillus cereus G9241. RNAcentral's name for it is "bacterial LSU rRNA". It matches the Rfam family "Bacterial large subunit ribosomal RNA", at positions 1731 to 2785 of the family's 2925-position model. Lineage: Bacteria; Bacillati; Bacillota; Bacilli; Caryophanales; Bacillaceae. The record is from RNAcentral.